AUUGAACGCUGGCGGCAGGCCUAAUACAUGCAAGUCGAACGGUAACAUAAGAAAAGCUUGCUUUCUUGAUGACGAGUGGCGGACGGGUGAGUAAAUAUUUGGGAAACUACCUGAUAGAGGGGGACAACAGUUGGAAACGACUGCUAAUACCGCAUACAGCCUUAGGGUGAAAGAAGCGAUUCGCUAUCAGAUGUGCCCGAAACGGGAUUAGCUAGUAGGUGAAGGUAAAGGCUCACCUAGGCGACGAUCUCUAGCUGGUCUGAGAGGAUGAUCAGCCACAUUGGGACUGAGACACGGCCCAGACUCCUACGGGAGGCAGCAGUAGGGAAUAUUGCACAAUGGAGGAAACUCUGAUGCAGCCAUGCCGCGUGUGUGAAGAAGGCCGUUCGGGUUAGUAAAGCUACUUCGGGAGGGGAGGAAAAAAAUGACGUUACCCUCAGAAGAAGCACCGGCUAACUCCGUG
Molecule: ribosomal RNA, 463 nt
Filed under: uncultured bacterium
Lineage: Bacteria
Description: bacterial SSU rRNA
Rfam family: Bacterial small subunit ribosomal RNA
Source: RNAcentral